AUGGCAGGAGGAACUGGAGCCCAGUUAGUGACCCAGCCUGACGGUCACAUCAGCGUCUCUGAAGGAAACCGUCUGGAGCUGAGAUGCAACUAUUCUUAUGGUGGAUCUAUUAAUCUCUUCUGGUAUGUCCAGUACCCCAGUCAAGGCCUCCAGGUUCUACUGAAGUAUUUAUCAGGGCCCACCCAGGUUAAAGGCAUCAAAGGCUUCGAGGCUGAAUUCAAGAAGGAUGAAAAGUCCUUCCACCUGAUGAAAGCUUCAGCCCAUUGGAGUGACUCUGCCAAGUACUUCUGUGCUCUGUGUGACACAGUGCCUGAGUCUGCAGGGGGAGCUGAACAAAAACCUUCUAGACAUUGUAGCUUAAAACACUCAGAGUCUCAGCCUGACCUAGUUUUAGAGAGGUCUCUGAUCUGA
Odocoileus virginianus texanus is the source of this 411-nucleotide non-coding RNA. The record is from the annotation of a RefSeq genome assembly. NCBI's taxonomy places the organism in Eukaryota, Metazoa, Chordata, Mammalia, Artiodactyla, Cervidae.